Molecule: transfer RNA, 24 nt
Filed under: Justicia graciliflora
Lineage: Eukaryota; Viridiplantae; Streptophyta; Magnoliopsida; Lamiales; Acanthaceae
Description: partial tRNA-His
Source: RNAcentral
GGCGGAUUAGCCAAGUCGGAUGGC